AACGAACGCUGGCGGCAGGCUUAACACAUGCAAGUCGAACGAGAUCUUCGGAUCUAGUGGCAGACGGGUGAGGAACACGUGGGAACAUCCCUUUCAGUUCGGAAUAACGUUGGGAAACUAACGCUAAUACCGGAUACGUCCUUCGGGAGAAAGAUUUAUCGCUGAAAGAUUGGCCCGCGUCUGAUUAGCUAGUUGGUGAGGUAAUGGCUCACCAAGGCUACGAUCAGUAGCUGAUCUGAGAGGAUGAUCAGCCACAUUGGGACUGAGACACGGCCCAAACUCCUACGGGAGGCAGCAGUGGGGAAUAUUGCACAAUGGGCGAAAGCCUGAUGCAGCAACGCCGCGUGAGCGAUGAAGGCCUUCGGGUCGUAAAGCUCUGUCCUCAAGGAAGAUAAUGACGGUACUUGAGGAGGAAGCCCCGGCUAACUACGUGCCAGCCGCCGCUGUAA
RNAcentral lists this ribosomal RNA (449 nucleotides) under uncultured bacterium. RNAcentral's name for it is "partial 16S ribosomal RNA". It matches the Rfam family "Bacterial small subunit ribosomal RNA", at positions 29 to 523 of the family's 1533-position model. The record is from RNAcentral.